Long non-coding RNA from Canis lupus familiaris (dog), 2510 nucleotides. RefSeq lists it as uncharacterized. The record is from RefSeq and is a predicted model, not a curated record. The transcript has 3 exons. NCBI's taxonomy places the organism in Eukaryota, Metazoa, Chordata, Mammalia, Carnivora, Canidae.
CGCCCUGGACCAAAGGCAGGCGCUAAACCGCUGCGCCACCCAGGGAUCCCCCACUUAUAUAAUUCUUGAAGGAACAAAAUUAUAAAAGUGAAAAGCAGAGUUAGUGGUUACCAGGGAUCAAACAGGUGAUAAGGUGGGAGGAAAGUGAGGAUAGCCAUGAGGAAGCCUUAUGAUGAUGGUUCUGCAUCUUGACUGUGUCAAUAUCCGGGUUAUGACACUGCACUACAGUUUGCAAGAUGUUAUCAAUGCAGGAAACUGGUGCAGAAAUUUGCAGUGGAUCACUGAACUGGAGAGAGGAAGGACAAGAGGACACAUCAAAUAGCAACGAGGAAAUGAGCGCAGGAAAGGGAAGAGAGUGACCGAGCAGCAGAAUGCAGCAAGUAUGGCCCUGGAAGUGACCCUUCAUAACUCUGCCACUCAUCCAGUGAACCCAGCAGGCCUCGAGGGCCUCACCUGUGAACUCUGGGUGUUGGACUAAAAACCUCAAGUUCUAGUAUGAAUAUUUCAUCUCUAUGAGUCAACAGCAAGGAGGCCAGAAAUGGGAGCUAGUUGAGCAUCAGAGGUGUCAAUCACAUCUCUUAUCUCUAACAAGGGAAUCCUCCUUCUUCCAGCGAGUGCACAGGGUACAUUGUCUGAUGUUAUCUCCGGGAGCUCCCCUGGGGAAAAAAUUAAUGGUAAACCUCCCAAGGAAAGAAACAGACAUGUAUAGACAGUUGUUUUUAAGUAUGACUGGGUCCAGGAUGCUACAUGAGAAUGUGACCAUUAAGAAGGUUCUGUCUACAGAGACAAUGUUGAAGAAAGAAUUACACAGGCUGGAAAGUGAUGAAGCACCUUCGGGAUGUCACUCCAUCAGAAGCAGUAACAAAUGCAGAGGCACUGCCAGUCAAAUCACAUCCCCCAGAUGUGUUGAAUAUAUCAACACUGACCUGAGAGAGUGAGAAGUAGCCCUUGCCAGAGGCAUGAAUACAAUUUUUAAAAUCAUUUCUUUUACAACAGAUUUAAAAUGGUAUUCUUUCUGCUUUACUUUUAAGUGAGGCAGCUAUAUUUGUUUCCUGCAGUUGCUAUAACAAAUCGGCCCAAACUGGGUGGCUUUAAACAACAGGAAUGCAUUUUCUCAGAGCUCUGGAUGCCAGAAGCCCCAAGUAAGUAUCACUGAGCUGAAAUCAAGGCACCAGCCGGGGUGUGCUCCCUCGGAAGGCUCUGGGACAGAGCAGGUAGGUUCUUGCCUCCUAUAGCUUCUGGUGGCUACUGGUAUUCCUUGCCUUAUGGCCACAGCUCUCUCAACUCUGUCUUCUUGAUUACAUUAUCUCAUCUUGUGUCAGGUCUCCUUCUGCCUUCCUCUUAUAAAGACACUUAGGAUUCAAUUAUGAGUGCACCUGGAUAAUUCAGGAUAAUCUCAAGAUCCUUAGUUUAACCACGUCUUUUGGUAUAUAGGGAAAUGUUCGCCUGAUAUCUUUAGGGGAUAUUUUUCAGCCAACUAUGGUCCCUGAAGGCCAAGAAUGAAUUGCUAGGUGCCAGGCCACUGCAAGACUCAAAAACUAUCUAAAGGGUGAAAAAGAAGAGUAAAACCCCAAACACCAUCACCCACCUGGAAUCGCCCACCUAUAAAGACAGAAAUGGGUGCUGAAGAGGCCAGAGAGGGUCAUAAGGAUGCUGUUCAUUCCCAACCUCCCCACCCCCAUAGAGGAAGACAGAGAGCUUUUCCCUACUCCAACCACGGAGAGUGCUGCCAGGAACAGAGUGGAGCUCGGUAACAGAGUUUUAGCUUGACUGCAACCCCCUGGAGUGUGCAGCUGCACUGGCCUGAGCUGGAGAAGCCAAAGGAUAGAGCAGAGGGACUGCACUAAAUGUGAGUGCUUGCUCAUGGGCCCCUUGGGCCUUGCAAAACCCAUAUGGCUUCCAGGAGGGACACUGGGAUCCAAGAGAAGAACCCACACACAGAGGCCCCAAGUUGGGGGAGCAAGUAUCAUAAGGAGGUGGUCAGAGGAACAGCAUUGCCCCUACCAUUAGGUUCACAACUUGAAGGUGCCUCAAACAGAGAGAAGCAAAAUUGGCCAUCUGCCACGCCCUAUGUAUGACCCACUGUCUGAUUACACCUGUGCCCCUCCAGAAAGACUUCUAGCCCAUUCUCAUACCUCCUUUGCCCCAGCUCCAGCCUCAGAGAAACCGGAGCAGUUUCACACUGCAGGAAUAGGAGGGAAAAUCCUCAUGUUGGACCUGAAACCCAAAGCAGGCACAAAAUUGGGGGAGAAAAGCUUUAGCUUCAGAUGAAGUUUUCAGUUUUGAUGUCUAUGCUGAACUGGCCAUUUUAAUCAUUGAAAUGCUAAAAUUUCAAAGUGAGACCCAUUUAGGGAACUCAGAGGACUCUUUUUUACUAACAGGGACAAAGUCACUGGACCUGCCAGAGUUUUCCCCCAGCAAUGGGGAAUAAACCAGCCCACAGAAUUACCAAAUGGAUUUGCACAUACCAGGGAGAAAAUACAGUGGUUUUCUGCACAUGCCUCAUUAAG